Molecule: non-coding RNA, 333 nt
Organism: Paramuricea clavata
Lineage: Eukaryota; Metazoa; Cnidaria; Anthozoa; Malacalcyonacea; Plexauridae
Source: the annotation of a GenBank genome assembly
CAACAAUAGACAAAACAAUGUCUUUCUUGUCGUUUGCGUUUGCUGAUAGAUUUGCUGAAUAUUAAUGAUAUGUAUAUGUUAUUUGCUGCGAGGACGACGAGAACAAAGAGGAAGAAGAGAAAGGAGAAAGAGGAAGAAGAGGAAGGAAGAAGAGGAAGGAAGAAGAGGAAGGAAGAAGACGAAGGAAGAAGACGAAGGAAGAAGACGAAGGAAGAAGAGGAAGGAAGAAGAGGAAGGAGGAAGAGGAAGAGGAAGAGGACUAGGACGAGGACGAGGACGAGGAGGACGAGGAGGACGAGGACGACGAGGACGACGAGGACGACGAGGACGACG